This is a long non-coding RNA of Neltuma alba, 1011 nucleotides long. RefSeq lists it as uncharacterized. The record is from RefSeq and is a predicted model, not a curated record. The transcript has 3 exons. Lineage: Eukaryota; Viridiplantae; Streptophyta; Magnoliopsida; Fabales; Fabaceae.
AGUUGGAAGAAUGUGACGGUAUUAUCUCCUCAUCGACUGGUGCAUUAUCUCGUAGAUCUGCUACCCUCGUCGACUGGUGCCUCGGUUUUUCUGCCUCCCCACCGUCAUUUCGAAAAGGGAGAAUGUGCAGGGUGGAGAGAGUGGUGCAUGAGAUCUGAAGAGGAUAAGGAUGAAACGAUGAGAGAAGCCGAGCCACCAUUGUCGGCUCCUCUCUAUUUUCGCUGUUCUAUAAACAGUACUGGGUGCGCGUUGGGCUACGUGCGCACAAAAGAUGGUUAUCCACGCUUGGUUUGGACGGGGGCUGCCAUGCUACAAUGAUGUGCUUUGAGAAAAAUGUAUGGUGUAUCUCUGUGGUGCAGAUUUUCUGGAUACUUUUGUUGAGUGCUUUGAUUUGAAUUUCAAAUUUUGAAAUUCCCCUCACCCUUACCCUUUCUCUCUUUUUCAUUUCAGUCUUAAAUUUGAAAAUUUCCCCUACCCGUACCUUUUCCUUUCCAAAUCAAAUCCAUUCUUCACUUUUAACUCCCUGCUUUUCAAUUGCGUUUUUAAUUCUAUUUCUCCACAUCCCUUCCCCCCUCCUCCUCAAUUUCCCAGGGGAAUCAUUACUCUUUCUUCUUCGCUUAUAAACCAACUCUGGGGCCUUCAGUUUGCUGCCUCUGAUGCCGAUAACUCUCAUAUACGGCAGGGAGUGCUUCUGGAGUGAAGCCUACAGACAUAAAACGCUUCUAAGGCAGGCAUGAGAAGCUCAAAUUUCAGCUGAAGAAAAUGAGGUGAGGUUAUGUCGUGCUAAAAGUACUGGAGAGAUUUAUGCCAUGAAGAAAUCAAAGAAAUCAGAGAUGCUUAGCCGAGGAUUGGUAAUAUAUAGCAAUCAAGCUUCGUACAUACUCUGCAUAAAUGUUACUUCAAUGCAACAAUCUUCUUAUCACUCGUCACGAGAAAAAGCAAAACCUUGUAUUCAUUAGCCUCUAACUUUAGUUAGUGUUCAUUCAUUUUAAUCUGAUGAGUUAUUUCAAA